CGGGUAGCGGAACACGUACGCAACCUUCCUUUAACUGGAGAAUAGCCCCUCGAAAGAGGGAUUAAUACUCCGUAACAUGAUGAUAAGGCAUCUUAUUAUUAUUAUAGCUCCGGCGGUUAGAGAUGGGCGUGCGCCUGAUUAGGUAGUUGGCGGGGUAACGGCCCACCAAGCCUGCGAUCGGUAACUGGUGUGAGAGCACGACCAGUCACACGGGCACUGAGACACGGGCCCG
This 232-nucleotide ribosomal RNA is filed under the name uncultured bacterium. Its description in RNAcentral is "partial 16S ribosomal RNA". It matches the Rfam family "Bacterial small subunit ribosomal RNA", at positions 103 to 334 of the family's 1533-position model. The record is from RNAcentral.